RNAcentral lists this ribosomal RNA (464 nucleotides) under uncultured bacterium. RNAcentral describes it as "partial 16S ribosomal RNA". It matches the Rfam family "Bacterial small subunit ribosomal RNA", at positions 31 to 507 of the family's 1533-position model. The record is from RNAcentral.
GAACGCUGGCGGCGUGCUUAACACAUGCAAGUCGAACGGAAAGGCCUCUUUCGGGGGGUACUUGAGUGGCGAACGGGUGAGUAACACGUGAGUAACCUGCCCUUGACUUUGGGAUAACUUCAGGAAACUGGGGCUAAUACCGGAUAGGAGCUCCUGCUGCAUGGUGGGGGUUGGAAAGUUUCGGCGGUUGGGGAUGGACUCGCGGCUUAUCAGCUUGUUGGUGGGGUAGUGGCUUACCAAGGCUUUGACGGGUAGCCGGCCUGAGAGGGUGACCGGCCACAUUGGGACUGAGAUACGGCCCAGACUCCUACGGGAGGCAGCAGUGGGGAAUAUUGCACAAUGGGUGGAAGCCUGAUGCAGCAACGCCGUGUGCGGGAGGACGGCCUUCGGGUUGGAAACCGCUUUCGCUCAUGACGAAGCUUUGUGUGACGGUAGUGGGUAAAGAAGCACCGGCUAACUACGUG